AGGUGGAGUCUGGUUCUACAGCAAUACGAGUUUACCAUACAGCACAAGAAGGGAAGUACACAUGGCAAUGCUGAUGGUUUGUCCCGCCAGGGGGAAGACUCCACCUAAUACGCAAGGUAGAGGCAUGUGAGCCUUCUCCCAUUGCGUCUCUUAUUUGGGUGAGGUGUCACGGCAAGGGUGUAUAAUUUAUUAUUACACUAUGGAAUAUCAUCCUUUAAUGUACAAAUUACAGAGAUGCUAUUGCUGAGGUCAACAGGGGUUAUAUCUUUUGAAGCUGGGACCCCCACAGAGGUCAGAUGACAAAAGGGGUAGUGUGAAUGGCAUAGCAAUGUGAAAAGGAUUUUACUAUAUGGAUGUGAAGUAAUCAAGGAUCUGCAAGGUGUGAGGUUCUACACUUGGAAAAGUCUGAAUGUCUCUUCAUCCAUUUGGCAUGUACCUUGUAAAGGAUAGUUCAAUCAUUUCAAAGGUAAUGGGAUUCGUUUCAUGAAGAUCCUUGUGUUCCAGUAUCUUAUCCAAGUGAAACAUUCAUACUUACCCACAGGUUAAUAAUUAAGCCUCAUUUUUAUUAUAUUUGGAAUGGGACAAGCCCAAUAUUUUAAUUAAG
Molecule: non-coding RNA, 604 nt
Organism: Pelobates cultripes (western spadefoot toad)
Lineage: Eukaryota; Metazoa; Chordata; Amphibia; Anura; Pelobatidae
Source: the annotation of a GenBank genome assembly